Molecule: ribosomal RNA, 465 nt
Filed under: uncultured bacterium
Lineage: Bacteria
Description: partial 16S ribosomal RNA
Rfam family: Bacterial small subunit ribosomal RNA
Source: RNAcentral
GAUGAACGCUGGCGGCGUGCCUAACACAUGCAAGUCGAGCGGAGAAUUGUUGCUUGCAACAAUUCUUAGCGGCGGACGGGUGAGUAACACGUGGGUAACCCGCCCUAAACAAAGGGAUAACAAUGAGAAAUCAUUGCUAAUACCGUAUAAGCUUACACUAUCGCAUGAUAGAGUAAGAAAAGAUUUAUCGGUUUAGGAGGGGCCCGCGUCUUAUUCACUAGUUGGAGAGGUAACGGCGCACCAAGGCGACGAGCAGUAGCCGACCUGAGAGGGCGAUCGGCCACAUGGGUACUGAGACACGGCCGAACCUCCUACGGGAGGCAGCAGUGGGGAAUAGUGCACAAUGGAGGAAACUGUGAUGCAGCAGCGCCGCGUGAAGUAAGAAGGUUUUCGGAUCGUAAACUUCUAUCUACAGGGAAGAAAAAAAUGACGGUACCUGAGUAAGAAGCCCCGGCUAACUACGUG